This 621-nucleotide ribosomal RNA is filed under the name uncultured bacterium. RNAcentral describes it as "bacterial SSU rRNA". It matches the Rfam family "Bacterial small subunit ribosomal RNA", at positions 28 to 635 of the family's 1533-position model. The record is from RNAcentral.
GACGAACGCUGGCGGCGUGCUUAACACAUGCAAGUGGUGCGACGAACCAGGGCUUGCCCUGGGGCCAAGCCGCGAACGGGUGAGUAACACGUGAGUAACCUGCCCCGAUGACCGGGACAACCCGAGGAAACUCGGGCUAAUACCGGAUGUGGCGCACACUCGUAAGUUUGUGCGCUAAAGGAAGCUUCGGCCUCCGCAUUGGGAGGGGCUCGCGGCCCAUUAGCUUGUUGGUGGGGUAACGGCCUACCAAGGCAACGAUGGGUAGCUGGUCUGAGAGGACGAUCAGCCACACUGGGACUGAGACACGGCCCAGACUCCUACGGGAGGCAGCAGUGGGGAAUCUUGCGCAAUGCGCGAAAGCGUGACGCAGCAACGCCGCGUGGGGGAAGACGGCCUUCGGGUUGUAAACCCCUUUCAGGAGGGACGAAGGUUCACCGGUGAACAGGCGUGUGGAUUGACGGUACCUCCAGAAGAAGCUCCGGCUAACUACGUGCCAGCAGCCGCGGUAAUACGUAGGGGGCAAGCGUUGUCCGGAAUCAUUGGGCGUAAAGCGCGCGUAGGCGGCCUUGUAAGUCCGUUGUGAAAGUCAAAGGCUCAACCUUUGAAAGCCGAUGGAUACUG